UGGGACAAAUUUGCUCCAAGGAAAGAGAGAGAAUCCUUGAGGGAGGUCAUCUCAAAGGUUAACCUCAAAGAAAGGAAUAUCUGAAUCAUCCCCAACUUGACUAUAUAUUUGUAUGUAAAUAUUUGCACAUUUCCCAACUUGACUAUUAUCCCCUCCAGUCCCCAAACUCCAAUAUUUUCUCUCAUUCUAAGAAAUUUGACACUAUCAUCCAACCCCCAUGUAAAUGCAUCUUUAAACUGCAUUGACUCCUUGUCCAAGUCCUGAAUCCACUAUAAGUCCAUAUGAACCACAUUCAAAGCACUAAAUUACCUUUCCUCGAAGCUCCUAUCUGAUCUACCAGCUCAAUAGUGGUCUACUGAAACCAUACUCACCAUCUCAGGGGGUGCUCAGAUCAUCAACCACUGACCUCCACACCAUCCUCAAAAACAGCAGUCCUCUUUUGGAGACAGAUUGGUCAGUGCUCCUGUAUGGCACCAACAUUGUGGAUUUUCAUCCAAUACUUCUGGACUAUGGGAACAUUCUUUGGACAAUAAAAUGAGGUAAAAUGGAAGCUGGCUACAGUCUCAGUUUUAUCCUGCAAGACAGUGUGAGGAUGUAUAACAACAAUACCUGUGGUUUAACUUGAUGAUCAGGGCCAGAUUACCGAAUGGGCACGCAGGGCAUCUGCCCUGUGGGCUCCGACCUCCGGGGAAUAUCAUCAUAACAUCCAAAACUAAAAAAAUUGUCGAUGUAUAUUACAGAGGGGUGCGUCACUUGAGUAGGUUGAGUCACUGACGUGAUCUUCCUGUCUGGGUUGGCGCGCCCUUUUGGGUUGUGCUGUGGCGGAGAUCUUUGUGGGCUAUACUCGGCCUUGUCUCAGGAUGGUAAGUUGGUGGUUGAAGAUAUCCCUCUAGUGGUGUGGGGUUAUAUCCUUCCUGUUUGGCCCUGUCCGGGGGUAUCAUCAGAUGGGGCCACAGUGUCCCCUGACCCCUCCUGUCUCAGCCUCCAGUAUUUAUGCUGCAGUAGUUUAUGUGUCGGGGGGCUAGGGUCAGUUUGUUAUAUCUGGAGUACUUCUCCUGUCUUAUCCGGUGUCCUGUGUGAAUUUGAGUAUGCUCUCUCUAAUUCUCUCUUUCUCUCUCUCUCUCUCUCUCUCUCUCUCGGAGGACCUGAGCCCUAGGACCAUGCCUCAACUCUCUAGAGACAGCAGGAGUGGUAGAGAUACUCUUAAUGAUCGGCUAUGAAAAGCCAACUGACAUUUACUCCUGAGGUGCUGACUUGCUUCACCCCCGACAACUAAUUGUGUUUAUUAUUAUUUGACCAUGCUGGUCAUUUAUGAACAUUUGAACAUCUUGGCCAUGUUCUGUUAUAAUCUCCACCCGGCACAGCCAGAAGAGGACUGGCCACCCCUCAUAGCCUGGUUCCUCUCUAGGUUUCUUCCUAGGUUUUGGCCUUUCUAGGGAGUUUUUCCCUAGCCACCGUGCUUCUACACCUGCAUUGCUUGCUGUUUGGGGUUUUAGGCUGGGUUUCUGUACAGCACUUUGAGAUAUCAGCUGAUGUACGAAGGGCUAUAAAAAUACAUUUGAUUUGAUUUGACAGACCCCACACUCAUCGCUAGAGAUCGAACUUCAGACUCCCUCUAAAACCACUGAACCCCUCAACACACCGAAAGACAUUACGAUAUAUCCCCUUAGAGGGAGCCGGAACAGGAUAACUCCCUCCACCAUCACAAAGACACAGAGGAGGAGGAACUAUCCAACACCCAAGGAGAGAGAACGAGUGACCUCAGUCGAACACAGCCAGAAAGAGGAGGUGGAAAAGGCGCAGCAGCACACUGCCCUCCAAAGCCUGCAAAAUAAUCGCUGGACUGCCCCUUUCCUCGCUCUGCAUGGAACAUCCAGUGUCACGUCCUUGGUGACGUGUGGGGUGACAUCCGGGAUGACCACAGCAACAUCCUCUGGAAAGGGAAAAAAGAGGAUCAGGAUGUAAACAAAUGCAAACCGUAGCUUCUUAACACUGGCCAGUUGAAAGGUUCUGCUAAGAUGUCAUGACAAACGGCACCUGUCAGAGUGCUCUCUAAGUGUUACUCACCUGCUUGGAUGUCAGCUGGCAGAGUGUCGAAGACGGCCAUCGUGAGAGUCCUUUCUUCAGGUGUGACAUGCUCAAUUGAUCCUAUUUAUUUGUACUGAAAUUUGAUAUUUUCUUUUCACUGCUGCUACUCGUGUUUUACAGACACACGUUUGAGUGGGUUUUCUACAGUCUGGCACAUGUUGACACAUUAUGGAGAAUGCAUAUGCUGCAAACCAGCACGACUAUUAGGCAUCAACUCUAGACGAGUUUCACUCACUACUGCAGUUUGGAGUUAGUUAUGGGGCAUACUUGAACUCUUUAAGGGAACAUGAACCGUUCUACUCCUGCAAAUUGUGACUAAUAACCCUAAUCAAAUUCUACGAGAUGGGUUUUUGAAUGUAGUACUGUAUUUUCAUUGAAAUGGCAGAUUUGUAUGAUGUCACACAAAAAUGUAUGUAAUGCUUCCCACAAAGAAAUUAUUUUACUAUUUUGUUUCAAAUGGUCCCUCUGGCAUGCAUAUUUCUGUAUGAUUUAACACAUGUUUGAAUCCCACUUCCUUGAUAUUUUGAAGUUCAUUUCCUUGAUAUUUUGAAGUUCAUUUUAGUCCUCCUUGCAUGUUUUGUUCCAUACCUGUGCCUUGGAGAAAACAACUAUAGCCCUGCAAGUCUAAUACGCUAUACACAACAGCAGCCUACAGUGUUAACUUAUUGAGAAUGUAUAUCAUUGCAUUUAACAUUCAAACCUCCUUUAAACUCUUCAGAUCUUAACCGGAUCAAACUGGAAUGUUAAUAUAUUACCCUAAGUCAAACUGGUUUUGGUGUCUUAGACACAAAAGGUUGUUUUCUCCUCAUAGUAAAAACACUGUUUCAUGGUUUGGAUUAAAAACACUGGGUAUUUGUUACGUAGAACUUUGUGUUUCUUGGGGGGGAAAGCAAUACUUAGCUCUACUGCUGUCUGUGUAGAGGCCUAGUUAGAAUUGUAUUGCAAUGACAGGUGAAGUGCUUGUUGAAAUCAUGCUGCCUUGCUGCUCAUUCCUUAAAGUACUUAUACCAACGAAUACCUGUUUGUCUGGAGCCAUAGCUGUUCUUAACCUGUUCAACUCUGACGCCCUCUGGUGGCAUUUUAUAAACGAUGCAUAAUAUUGUAUACUGCCCUCAUAAAGUACAUUUCAGUCCUUACAGAAACAUGCUUAGGGAAAGGGAAAGGGGAAUACCUAGUCAGUUGUACAACUGAAUGUAUUCAACUAAAAUGUGUCUUACG
This is a long non-coding RNA of Oncorhynchus keta (chum salmon), 3306 nucleotides long. RefSeq lists it as uncharacterized. NCBI's taxonomy places the organism in Eukaryota, Metazoa, Chordata, Actinopteri, Salmoniformes, Salmonidae. The record is from RefSeq and is a predicted model, not a curated record. The transcript is spliced from 4 exons.